GCCCUGUUAGUUCAACGGAUAGAACGGAAGUUUCCUAAACUUUAAAUAGCAGUUCGAUUCUGCUACGGGGUA
Molecule: transfer RNA, 72 nt
Filed under: Bacteroidales bacterium
Lineage: Bacteria; Pseudomonadati; Bacteroidota; Bacteroidia; Bacteroidales
Description: tRNA-Arg
Rfam family: tRNA
About the family: Transfer RNA (tRNA) molecules are approximately 80 nucleotides in length. Their secondary structure includes four short double-helical elements and three loops (D, anti-codon, and T loops).
Source: RNAcentral